UGGGGAAUUUUGGACAAUGGGCGCAAGCCUGAUCCAGCCAUGCCGCGUGCGGGAAGAAGGCCUUCGGGUUGUAAACCGCUUUUGUCAGGGAAGAAAUCUUCUGAGUUAGUACCUCGGGAGGAUGACGGUACCUGAAGAAUAAGCACCGGCUAACUACGUGCCAGCAGCCGCGGUAAUACGUAGGGUGCAAGCGUUAAUCGGAAUUACUGGGCGUAAAGCGUGCGCAGGCGGUUUUGUAAGACAGAGGUGAAAUCCCCGGCUCAACCUGGGAACUGCCUUUGUGACUGCAAGGCUUGAGUGCGGCAGAGGGGGAUGGAAUUCCGCGUGUAGCAGUGAAAUGCGUAGAUAUGCGGAGGAACACCGAUGGCGAAGGCAAUCCCCUGGGCCUGCACUGACGCUCAUGCACGAAAGCGUGGGGAGCAAACAGGAUUAGAUACCCUGGUAGUCCACGCCCUAAACGAUGUCAACUGGUUGUUGGGAAGGUUCCUUCUCAGUAACGUAGCUAACGCGUGAAGUUGACCGCCUGGGGAGUACGGCCGCAAGGUUG
Molecule: ribosomal RNA, 547 nt
Filed under: uncultured bacterium
Lineage: Bacteria
Description: partial 16S ribosomal RNA
Rfam family: Bacterial small subunit ribosomal RNA
Source: RNAcentral